This 275-nucleotide small nuclear RNA is filed under the name Aotus nancymaae (Ma's night monkey). RNAcentral describes it as "7SK RNA (ENSANAG00000000836.1)". It matches the Rfam family "7SK RNA", at positions 1 to 270 of the family's 331-position model. Rfam says of the family: 7SK was discovered as an abundant small nuclear RNA in the mid-70s but a possible function has only recently been suggested. Two independent studies have found that 7SK RNA binds the CDK9/cyclin T complex (known as elongation factor P-TEFb). The record is from RNAcentral. Lineage: Eukaryota; Metazoa; Chordata; Mammalia; Primates; Aotidae.
GGAUGUGAGGGCAAUCUGGCUGCGACAUCUGUCACCCCAUUGAUUGCCAGGGUUGAUUUGGCUGAUCUGGCUGGCUAGGCGGGUGUCCCCUUCCUCCCUCACCACUCCAUGUGCAUCCCUCCUGAAGCUGCGUGCUUGGUUGAAGAGGAUGACCAUCCCCGAUAGAGGAGGACCGGUCUUCAGUCAAGGGCAUACGAGUAGCUGUGCUCCCCUGCUAGAACCUCCAAACAAGAUCUCAAGGUCCAUUUGGUUCUUUUUUGCAAUUGCUGGUACUU